Long non-coding RNA from Schistocerca piceifrons (Central American locust), 451 nucleotides. RefSeq lists it as uncharacterized. The transcript is spliced from 3 exons. Lineage: Eukaryota; Metazoa; Arthropoda; Insecta; Orthoptera; Acrididae. The record is from RefSeq and is a predicted model, not a curated record.
CAGAGAAUGUAAAACUUUGAAAGAAGUGUUCUCUUUUCAGUCGUACCGAUAGUGUAUCGGUUCGUCCUUGAAUCGCUUCAGAUUUUUGGGUUGAUGGUUUGCAAUACAGCCUUAGAACUUCACAAAUCUGCCUCUUCAACACGUUUUUUCACAGGAUGGGGUGACGUGUCACAUUUCAUGUGAGCCAACCUCACAAACACAUGAAAUAUUUGGAGAAGAAAGGACUGUCAGCAAAGCGUCAUGGCUACGGAAUUUGCUGGACCUAACCACUUGUCACUUUUAUCUGGGAGCCAGUCUAAAGGGAAGAAAUGCACACAAAUAACCAAAUAAUGUUGGAAGACUUGAAGGACAAUAUUCAUAAUGAAAUUUUGGUAACUGAUGCAGCAGAGUGGCGCAAACUGUGUAUUAACUGUGUAUUAUCAUAUGAGGGCACAUGCAUAAGAGCAUUUAC